CGGGACGGGUGAGUAAUGUCUGGGAAACGUCUCGAUGGAGGGGGAUAACUACUGGAAACGGUAGCUAAUACCGCAUAACGUCGCAAGACCAAAGAGGGGGACCUUGGGCCUCUUGCCAUCGGAUGUGCCCAGAUGGGAUUAGCUAGUAGGUGGGGUAACGGCUCACCUAGGCGACGAUCCCUAGCUGGUCUGAGAGGAUGACCAGCCACACUGGAACUGAGACACGGUCCAG
Molecule: ribosomal RNA, 232 nt
Filed under: uncultured bacterium
Lineage: Bacteria
Description: partial 16S ribosomal RNA
Rfam family: Bacterial small subunit ribosomal RNA
Source: RNAcentral